RNAcentral lists this ribosomal RNA (285 nucleotides) under Prunus dulcis (almond). Its description in RNAcentral is "rRNA SSU_rRNA_bacteria". Lineage: Eukaryota; Viridiplantae; Streptophyta; Magnoliopsida; Rosales; Rosaceae. The record is from RNAcentral.
GUUUCGAUGCAACAAGAAGAAGUUAUUUGGAGCAAGUAGUUUUGUUGCUUGUUUAAUUGGUCAUAUUUUUGUCAUGAAGUGCGGUAGGGGCAGAGAGAAUUUUUGGUGGAGCGGUGAAUGCGUAGAGAUUGGAAAGCACACCAAUGACGAGGCUCUAUGUUGGACCGACAUUGACAUUGGGAGACAAGAACUAGAGGAUCAAAUGGCAUUAGAUACCGUGAGCCAGGACUGAAUUCUCCAUGAGAUUCAUACUUGAAGCUCAGAACAGCCGCGUACGAAGGAGGA